This is a non-coding RNA of Variovorax paradoxus, 170 nucleotides long. The record is from Rfam. Lineage: Bacteria; Pseudomonadati; Pseudomonadota; Betaproteobacteria; Burkholderiales; Comamonadaceae.
GCGAGGGCGACUGAGCGUGGGGAGGAAGCGGGGAGCGAAACCGCGAGUCGAGGAACACGAACCUCAUACGAGGCGCUGCCGAGCAGGGCGAGCGGGCACGAUACCGCGAAGCUCUUGUGGCCAAAGCAAGGCAGCGUAAAUGGGGCGAUUGUGCGGCGAAGGAUCGCGUU